UGGGGAAUAUUGCACAAUGGGCGGAAGCCUGAUGCAGCAACGCCGCGUGAGGGAUGACGGCCUUCGGGUUGUAAACCUCUUUUAGCAGGGAAGAAGCGAGAGUGACGGUACCUGCAGAAAAAGCGCCGGCUAACUACGUGCCAGCAGCCGCGGUAAUACGUAGGGCGCAAGCGUUAUCCGGAAUUAUUGGGCGUAAAGAGCUCGUAGGCGGUUUGUCGCGUCUGCUGUGAAAUCCCGAGGCUCAACCUCGGGCCUGCAGUGGGUACGGGCAGACUAGAGUGCGGUAGGGGAGAUUGGAAUUCCUGGUGUAGCGGUGGAAUGCGCAGAUAUCAGGAGGAACACCGAUGGCGAAGGCAGAUCUCUGGGCCGUAACUGACGCUGAGGAGCGAAAGGGUGGGGAGCAAACAGGCUUAGAUACCCUGGUAGUCCACCCGUAAACGUUGGGAACUAGUUGUGGGGACCAUUCCACGGUUUCCGUGACGCAGCUAACGCAUUAAGUUCCCCGCCUGGGGAGUACGGCCGCAAGGCUAAAACUGCAAAUGAAUUGACGGGGUCAUAGCUGUUUCCU
This 568-nucleotide ribosomal RNA is filed under the name uncultured bacterium. RNAcentral describes it as "partial 16S ribosomal RNA". It matches the Rfam family "Bacterial small subunit ribosomal RNA", at positions 355 to 1375 of the family's 1533-position model. The record is from RNAcentral.